This 301-nucleotide ribosomal RNA is filed under the name uncultured bacterium. RNAcentral's name for it is "partial 16S ribosomal RNA". It matches the Rfam family "Bacterial small subunit ribosomal RNA", at positions 509 to 807 of the family's 1533-position model. The record is from RNAcentral.
CAGUAGCCACGGUAAUACGUAGGGUGCGAGCGUUAAUCGGAAUUACUGGGCGUAAAGCGUGCGCAGGCGGUUUUGUAAGACAGGCGUGAAAUCCCCGGGCUCAACCUGGGAAUGGCGCUUGUGACUGCAAAGCUAGAGUGCGGCAGAGGGGGAUGGAAUUCCGCGUGUAGCAGUGAAAUGCGUAGAUAUGCGGAGGAACACCGAUGGCGAAGGCAAUCCCCUGGGCCUGCACUGACGCUCAUGCACGAAAGCGUGGGGAGCAAACAGGAUCAGAUACCCGCGUAGUCCCUGUCUCUUAUAC